AGAUUAUGUUGUGGAAAAGUGUGAAGUAAUCCCUUGUAACAUUCUGAUGCUUCAUAUAAAUAUUCUCCAUCUAGUUGUUGGAAGUUUUAGAUGUUCUUUAUCU
Molecule: small nucleolar RNA, 103 nt
Organism: Lactuca sativa (garden lettuce)
Lineage: Eukaryota; Viridiplantae; Streptophyta; Magnoliopsida; Asterales; Asteraceae
Source: RefSeq, a predicted model, not a curated record